RNAcentral lists this transfer RNA (73 nucleotides) under Nonomuraea soli. RNAcentral describes it as "Nonomuraea sp. YIM 120770 tRNA". It matches the Rfam family "tRNA". Rfam says of the family: Transfer RNA (tRNA) molecules are approximately 80 nucleotides in length. Their secondary structure includes four short double-helical elements and three loops (D, anti-codon, and T loops). The record is from Rfam by way of RNAcentral. RNAcentral also lists the same sequence under 2 other names. Lineage: Bacteria; Bacillati; Actinomycetota; Actinomycetes; Streptosporangiales; Streptosporangiaceae.
UCCGGCGUAGAGUAAUUGGCAACUCACCAGAUUUUGGUUCUGGGUAUUCCAGGUUCGAAUCCUGGCGCCGGAG